RNAcentral lists this ribosomal RNA (475 nucleotides) under uncultured organism. Its description in RNAcentral is "partial 16S ribosomal RNA". It matches the Rfam family "Bacterial small subunit ribosomal RNA", at positions 335 to 801 of the family's 1533-position model. The record is from RNAcentral.
ACUCCUGCGGGAGGCAGCAGUGGGGAAUUUUGGACAAUGGGCGAAAGCCUGAUCCAGCAAUGCCGCGUGAGUGAAGAAGGCCUUCGGGUUGUAAAGCUCUUUUGUCAGGGAAGAAACGGUGAAAGCUAAUAUCUUUUGCUAAUGACGGUACCUGAAGAAUAAGCACCGGCUAACUACGUGCCAGCAGCCGCGGUAAUACGUAGGGUGCAAGCGUUAAUCGGAAUUACUGGGCGUAAAGCGUGCGCAGGCGGUUUUGUAAGUCUGAUGUGAAAUCCCCGGGCUCAACCUGGGAAUUGCAUUGGAGACUGCAAGGCUAGAAUCUGGCAGAGGGGGGUAGAAUUCCACGUGUAGCAGUAAAAUGCGUAGAUAUGUGGAGGAACACCGAUGGCGAAGGCAGCCCCCUGGGUCAAGAUUGACGCUCAUGCACGAAAGCGUGGGGAGCAAACAGGAUUAGAUACCCCAGUAGUCCCAUGAU